RNAcentral lists this unclassified non-coding RNA (353 nucleotides) under Hevea brasiliensis (rubber tree). Lineage: Eukaryota; Viridiplantae; Streptophyta; Magnoliopsida; Malpighiales; Euphorbiaceae. The record is from RNAcentral.
CUUGGUGAUAAUUGACAGAUUCUCCAAAUAUAGGACCUGUGUGCCGAUGUCUAAAUAUUGUUUAGCAGAAGAUACUGCUCGUGCCUUUUUCAAACAUGCAAAUAAUUAUUGGGGUAUCCAAAAGAGCAUUAUAAGUGAUCGAAAUGGUUGAUUUGUGGGAUCAUUUUGAUCAAAGUUGUUCCGCCUGUUGGGUUCUAGAUUUGAUGUCUCAACGAGUUUCCAUCCCCAAAAAGAUGGUCAAAUUGAGAGAUUUAAUGGGUUGCUUGAAGAAUAUUUGAGGCAUUUUGUUAAUGCUAGUCAAAAGAAUUGGGCUUUCUUACUUAAUGUGACACAAUUUUGUUUUAAUUCUUUAA